CCCUUAGACGUUCUGGGCCGCACGCGCGCUACACUGACCAGUGCAACAAGCAUCCGUCCUUGGCCGACAGGCUCGGGCAAUCUUUGAACGCUGGUCGUGAUGGGGAUAGACUUUUGCAAUUUUUGGUCUUCAACGAGGAAUUCCUAGUAAAUGCAAGUCAUCAACUUGCAUUGAUUACGUCCCUGCCCUUUGUACACACCGCCCGUCGCACCUACCGAUUGAAUGGUCCGGUGAAGCCUCCGGAUUGGCGCGCACCUCGGUGCCGCCGAGAAGUUGGCUAAACCUUACCAUUUAGAGGAAGGUGAAGUCGUAACA
This 315-nucleotide ribosomal RNA is filed under the name uncultured eukaryote. RNAcentral describes it as "partial 18S ribosomal RNA". It matches the Rfam family "Eukaryotic small subunit ribosomal RNA", at positions 1470 to 1796 of the family's 1831-position model. The record is from RNAcentral.